GACGAACCGUACAAACGUUAUUCGGAAUCACUGGGCUUAAAGGGUGCGUAGGCGGCGCUGUAAGUUGGGUGUGAAAUCCCUCGGCUCAACCGAGGAACUGCGCCCAAAACUACAGUGCUUGAGGGAGAUAGAGGUGAGCGGAACUUAGGGUGGAGCGGUGAAAUGCGUUGAUAUCCUAAGGAACGCCAGGGGCGAAAGCGGCUCACUGGGUCUCUUCUGACGCUGAGGCACGAAAGCUAGGGUAGCGAACGGGAUUAGAUACCCCGGUAGUCCUAGCCGUAAACGAUGAGCACUAGAUGGAAGGGCCCUCCAUAGCCUUUCCAUCGAAGCGAAAGUAAUUAGUGCUCCGCCUGGGGAGUAUGGUCGCAAGGCUG
This 374-nucleotide ribosomal RNA is filed under the name uncultured bacterium. Its description in RNAcentral is "bacterial SSU rRNA". It matches the Rfam family "Bacterial small subunit ribosomal RNA", at positions 524 to 896 of the family's 1533-position model. The record is from RNAcentral.